UUACGGUCAAAUCACGCUGAAAACACCGGUUCUCGUUCGAUCACCGAAGUUAAGCAUCGUAGAAACAGGUCAGUACUUAGAUGGGGACCGCUUGGGAACACCUGGUACUGUAAG
This 114-nucleotide ribosomal RNA is filed under the name Acanthosepion pharaonis. The record is from RNAcentral. Lineage: Eukaryota; Metazoa; Mollusca; Cephalopoda; Sepiida; Sepiidae.